This 584-nucleotide ribosomal RNA is filed under the name uncultured bacterium. RNAcentral's name for it is "partial 16S ribosomal RNA". It matches the Rfam family "Bacterial small subunit ribosomal RNA", at positions 355 to 1375 of the family's 1533-position model. The record is from RNAcentral.
UGGGGAAUUUUGGACAAUGGGCGAAAGCCUGAUCCAGCAAUGCCGCGUGUGUGAAGAAGGCCUUCGGGUUGUAAAGCACUUUUGUCCGGAAAGAAAUCCUUGGCUCUAAUACAGUCGGGGGAUGACGGUACCGGAAGAAUAAGCACCGGCUAACUACGUGCCAGCAGCCGCGGUAAUACGUAGGGUGCAAGCGUUAAUCGGAAUUACUGGGCGUAAAGCGUGCGCAGGCGGUUUGCUAAGGCCGAUGUGAAAUCCCCGGGCUCAACCUGGGAACUGCAUUGGUGACUGGCAGGCUAGAGUAUGGCAGAGGGGGGUAGAAUUCCACGUGUAGCAGUGAAAUGCGUAGAGAUGUGGAGGAAUACCGAUGGCGAAGGCAGCCCCCUGGGCCAAUACUGACGCUCAUGCACGAAAGCGUGGGGAGCAAACAGGAUUAGAUACCCUGGUAGUCCACGCCCUAAACGAUGUCAACUAGUUGUUGGGGAUUCAUUUCCUAGUAACGUAGCUAACGCGUGAAGUUGACCGCCUGGGGAGUACGGUCGCAAGAUUAAAACUCAAAGGAAUUGACGGGGUCAUAGCUGUUUCCU